Vespula vulgaris is the source of this 436-nucleotide long non-coding RNA. RefSeq lists it as uncharacterized. NCBI's taxonomy places the organism in Eukaryota, Metazoa, Arthropoda, Insecta, Hymenoptera, Vespidae. The transcript is spliced from 2 exons. The record is from RefSeq and is a predicted model, not a curated record.
CAACCUUCAGACAAUACUUUUUCUACAACUUUUACAGAAUUUUCUCACAAGUUUUACGCACCUUUUACCUUAUGCCGCAUAAUUUAACAUGAAACAGAAGGAAGUCUGAUAGAAUACUGAACGCAAAUCAGACGUACUGCAGGCGGAAUGUCAUCGAAGCUCAGUCGUGUCUCUUAUUCAAUAAAGACGCAAGCUUGAUGUAACCGUUUUCUUUUUAGACGAUUAUUCAAAGGCGUCGUAUAAAUGAUCAAUCACAAACAUUCAAAUUCUGAUGUCUACUUAUAGUUUCUCCUCUGUUUAAUAUUAUAUAAUAAAAUCACACAAAUAUCAUGCAAUAAAAUUAAACAAAUAGUAUAUAUUAAAAUGAGACAAAUAUUAUACAAUAAAAUCAGGCAAAUAGUAUACAAUAAAAUGAAACAAAUAUUAGACACUAAAA